CGUCUAUAUACGUAUAGCAUAUCAAUAAGCGGAGGAAAAGAAACUAACAAGGAUUCCCUUAGUAACGGCGAGUGAAGGCGGGAAGAGCUCAAAUUUGAAAUCUUCAAGGUUCUACCUUGACGAAUUGUAGUUUAAUAGAAGUGUUUUCUGUUAGUAGGAGUGGCAAAAGUUCUUUGGAAUAGGACAUCAUAGAGGGUGAGAAUCCCGUAUUUGGUCAUUCCUUUCUAGCUUUGUGAUACACUUUCAACGAGUCGGAUUGUUUGGGAAUGCAGUCCAAAAUGGGUGGUAAAUUUCAUCUAAAGCUAAAUAUUGGCGAGAGACCGAUAGCGAACAAGUACCGUGAGGGAAAGAUGAAAAGAACUUUGAAAAGAGAGUUAAACAGUACGUGAAAUUGUCAAAAGGGAAGCGUUUGACACCAGUGUUGUUUUUCCGAAAAUCAAUUACGAAUGUUUUAUUUUUGAGGAGUUAUGACUUCAUCGGCUUGCUUCUCUCUUUACGAAACUUUCUUAAUGCACUUUUCGGUUAACAAGUCAACAUCAAUUUCUUUUGUUGUAAAAGGGUAUGAGGAAGGUGGCUUUCUUUUCGGAGAAAGUGUUUAUAGCCUUGUACCUCUGCAAUCGGAGAGAUUGAGGUCUGCAGCGUAGAUCCUUCGGGGUUAGAUACAUUUGUGCUAAGUUAUAGCUUUUCAUAGACAACUUGUUGACUAUGUUAAGUCUUGUAGCUUACUCGCUUAUGCUAUUUUACCUACGCUUAGGAUGUUGAUAUGCAUGACUGAUAU
Molecule: ribosomal RNA, 778 nt
Filed under: uncultured Neocallimastigales
Lineage: Eukaryota; Fungi; Neocallimastigomycota; Neocallimastigomycetes; Neocallimastigales
Description: partial large subunit ribosomal RNA
Rfam family: Eukaryotic large subunit ribosomal RNA
Source: RNAcentral